UCCAGACUCCUACGGGAGGCAGCAGUGAGGAAUAUUGGUCAAUGGGCGGAAGCCUGAACCAGCCAAGUCGCGUGAGGGACUAAGGCCCUGCGGGUCGUAAACCUCUUUUGCCGGGGAGCAGUGGUCCGGACGCGUCCGGACCGGGAGAGUACCCGGAGAAAAAGCAUCGGCUAACUCCGUGCCAGCAGCCGCGGUAAUACGGAGGAUGCGAGCGUUAUCCGGAUUUAUUGGGUUUAAAGGGAGCGUAGAUGGGUUGUUAAGUCAGUUGUGAAAGUUUGCGGCUCAACCGUAAAAUUGCAAUUGAUACUGGCAGUCUUGAGUACAGUUGAGGUAGGCGGAAUUCGUGGUGUAGCGGUGAAAUGCUUAGAUAUCACGAAGAACCCCGAUUGCGAAGGCAGCUUACUAAACUGUGACUGACAUUGAUGCUCGAAAGUGUGGGUAUCAAACAGGAUUAGAUACCCUAGUA
Molecule: ribosomal RNA, 466 nt
Filed under: uncultured bacterium
Lineage: Bacteria
Description: bacterial SSU rRNA
Rfam family: Bacterial small subunit ribosomal RNA
Source: RNAcentral